Molecule: long non-coding RNA, 2039 nt
Organism: Gallus gallus (chicken)
Lineage: Eukaryota; Metazoa; Chordata; Aves; Galliformes; Phasianidae
Source: Ensembl
AAGGAAUGGCACAAAACCCAGAUGGUCUCCUCUGGGAACGUAGAAGACAUAGCCUUCAUCUGAAUCCUAGAAAGCAGAUUGCUUCUCUUUAUACAAGCAAAGGAUACGCAAGGAUAAACUGAGAAACUGGUCCCCUGUCUAAAGUGCUCUAGCCUCACUAUAAAGGCAGGUUAAGUGUACUUAAGCUUUAUGAUUAAAAGCAGCUUAGCAGCUACUGUAAUUCAGAAGUGUCAUUAAAUCAUUUCAAACCUGAAAAAGGACUAAGGUCAAUUUAGAAUUAAAAAGUGUUGAAAGUGAUAAGACAUUUUCUCUGAGGUGCCCAGCUGAGAUCCAGCACAGCUAGCUUUUGCAGCUGAGGAAGGCACUGCAGUACAAUGCAUAUACAUCUUCAAACCAGCAUGCUACUCAUAGUAAAAAGUUACACCAUUUGGAGUUGUGUUAUAGCCAUACUCUAAUAAAUGCUUUUGUGAGCAGUUAUAGGAGGCUGAAACAAACUAUACUCUGUGUAGAAUAACUAAAAACAGGUAUUAGAAUCCUCCUUGGAAAUCACUUGCAGCCCAUCUUUUCCAUAUUUAAUUUUAUUUUUGAAACCUCUAAAAUGAAUAAUAUGAAAUAUUCUACAGAAUUAGUGACAAACUGCCAGAAGAGAGAGGUUUCAUAUGCAAUCCAAAGCAAAGGAAAUGUUUUAUCAAGAAGUAUAUCUACAUUUCUAAUGUUGAACGUUCCAGUGUAAUUCCUAGAAGUACUGUAGUGCAGUUUGGAUGAUUGUCUGGCAGACUGGAAAGAAAAAGUUACAGUGUGAUUAUCAGCUUAAGCUAACUAAUGCUGCUGUCAGAAGUGAUGUUCCCUCCACUCAAGGCCACAUGUUCUUCCCUGGUCUGGCAGACUGCUGAUUUGGUUGUACUGCUAGACAUUUCUGCUUGCUGAUCUGACUGAAAGCUAUACUGAUAGUAAAGGAGUUAUUAGCUGUAGGCACAUGCCAGAGAUGCCUCUGCUGCUUAAUGAGCUUCUCAGUCCUAGUGAAGACCUGAGCUCCUCCAGAGGAUAAUGCAGACUACACCUAAGCUCUAAGCUAGGAGCUUUUCUUUACCUUCACUUUAGGAAACAUAACAUUAGACUUUGUGAAUUAUCCCUCAAACAGCCAACUGUGAAUGUUAAUAUUUGGAUUUUGAAUAUAGUGUUUGCAAGUGACUAAAUGAGGUGGCUAGAUGUUAAAAAGCAGAAAGAGCUGUUUCAAGAUAAAGUUACCUUGUGCUGAUGUCAUUUGAUCCUUGGUAGUUGUUUCAGUUUUCCAUUGAAGGUAAAUAGGCAAGUUGUUUGCUCUUCUCAUGCAGCGAAUCUCUGAUUCCGUUCAUGAAGAAGGAUAAUUCUUUACCUAUGGAGUAAUAAGUGAUAGAAAUAGCAGGUCACUGAGUAUCAAAACUCAAAAGGGCCUGAAUGGCUUUUAGAGAAAUAAUAGAGUAAAUAUAGGUAAAUAUAGGCUGGCAUUUAGGGUACAUGAAAUAUGUUUGGGGUUUUUUUUUGUUUGUUUUUUGUUUUUUUUUCCAAUUCAUAAGUUUUAUACAAUCCUUUUCAGCCUAUUUUCAGUAGAUAUCAUUAUUUGGUAUUUUUGAGGAGCAUUUUUUUUUCUUUUUUUCUUUUUAUACUCUAAAGUUCACACUAAACUUUUUCUUUCUUUUUUUUAUCUUUCAGUAGGCUUUCAGAAUGCCAAACUUAAAGUUGCCGUGAUAUUUUUAAGAUUAGUUUUCUAUUCUUAGUAUGUAAAACUUUAUUCUUGUAUUUCCUUAAAUAUAAAUAAAGGCAAUAUUGCUGCAUGUUGAAUCAACAAUAAAUAUUUCCUGUGAAUUGGAUUUUAUUUCCAGAGUUGCUGACCAGACUUCUAUGUGUGAUUGUAUCAGAUGACCAUCUGGGAGACAUCUGUUUAACUGUAAUGUUUUCCCGAUGCGGAACAUGUCCUGCAAUCCGAAGUAAAAACCUGAGGUAACCUUCCACUUCUGUACAAGUGUUCUUUAAUGAAUAGCAAACAAUAAAUAAUAAAA